AAUGGGAUUGGGUCUAAGGGCUGGGUCGGUCGGGCUGGGUUGCGAAGCAGGGCUUGAGCCGCGGCUGGGGGAGCAGUCGCUCUGUCGCCCUCCUCUCGCCACCGUUGGAAGUUCGUUGUGCGGACCAUCUCGCAGUCUCUCGUGCGUGGUCUCACAAGGGACUGCGUGUGGGGGUUUGUCGGAGUGGUGUCUGUCGGCGGGCCGAAGGCGGACCGGUGGGGGGUUGGUUCCGGCUGUUGGCGGCAGCGACUCUGGACGCACGCCGGGCCCUUCUCGCGGAACUCCCCAGCUACGUUCAUGCGGGGUCUCUGGCUGGUCGUCUCGGCCGGCGCCUAGCAGCUGACUUAGAACUGGUGCGGACCAGGGGAAUCUGACUUUCAUUAAAACAAAGCAUUGUGAAAGCCCAAGGUGGGUGUUGACGCGAUGUGAUUUCUGCCCAGUGCUCUGAAUGUGAAGAAAUUCUAUGAAGCGCAGGUAAAUGGUGGGAGUAACUAUGACCCUCUUAAGGAGUUGUUAGCCCAGGAAAUUGGAGGUCCAUGCUUCCA
RNAcentral lists this non-coding RNA (545 nucleotides) under Salmo salar (Atlantic salmon). Its description in RNAcentral is "Eukaryotic large subunit ribosomal RNA". It matches the Rfam family "Eukaryotic large subunit ribosomal RNA", at positions 1941 to 2311 of the family's 3401-position model. The record is from Rfam by way of RNAcentral. Lineage: Eukaryota; Metazoa; Chordata; Actinopteri; Salmoniformes; Salmonidae.